CAGUCGCCACGGGAAUACGAAGGGUGCAAGCGUUACUCGGAAUUACUGGGCGUAAAGCGUGCGUAGGUGGUGGUUUAAGUCCGUUGUGAAAGCCCUGGGCUCAACCUGGGAAUUGCAGUGGAUACUGGGUCACUAGAGUGUGGUAGAGGAUAGUGGAAUUUCCGGUGUAGCAGUGAAAUGCGUAGAGAUCGGAAGGAACAUCUGUGGCGAAGGCGACUAUCUGGGCCAACACUGACACUGAGGCACGAAAGCGUGGGGAGCAAACAGGAUUAGAUACCCCCGUAGUCCCUGUCUCUUAUAU
RNAcentral lists this ribosomal RNA (301 nucleotides) under uncultured bacterium. Its description in RNAcentral is "partial 16S ribosomal RNA". It matches the Rfam family "Bacterial small subunit ribosomal RNA", at positions 509 to 809 of the family's 1533-position model. The record is from RNAcentral.